AGGACGAACGCUGGCGGCGUGCUUAACACAUGCAAGUCGAGCGGAAAGGCCCUUCGGGGUACUCGAGCGGCGAACGGGUGAGUAACACGUGAGUAAUCUGCCCCUAGCUCUGGGAUAGCUCCGGGAAACCGGGAUUAAUACCAGAUACGACCACUUUAGACAUCUGUUGUGGUGGAAAGAAUUUUGGCUAGGGAUGAGCUCGCGGCCUAUCAGCUUGUUGGUGAGGUAACGGCUCACCAAGGCGACGACGGGUAGCCGGCCUGAGAGGGCGACCGGCCACACUGGGACUGAGACACGGCCCAGACUCCUACGGGAGGCAGCAGUGGGGAAUAUUGCGCAAUGGGCGAAAGCCUGACGCAGCGACGCCGCGUGGGGGAUGAAGGCCUUCGGGUUGUAACCCUUUCAGCAGGGACGAAGCGAAAGUGACGGUACCUGCAGAAGAAGCGCCGGCUAACUACGCGCCAGCAGCCGC
Molecule: ribosomal RNA, 472 nt
Filed under: uncultured bacterium
Lineage: Bacteria
Description: SSU rRNA
Rfam family: Bacterial small subunit ribosomal RNA
Source: RNAcentral